RNAcentral lists this long non-coding RNA (385 nucleotides) under Ananas comosus (pineapple). RNAcentral's name for it is "long non-coding RNA (ACOM_LNC025571)". The record is from RNAcentral. Lineage: Eukaryota; Viridiplantae; Streptophyta; Magnoliopsida; Poales; Bromeliaceae.
UGAAUUAUAAUUAGGGUAAACUUCAAAUACCACCCAUAUGAUUUCGUACUUUCUCAUUUUAGUAUUCUGUUGUUUAAAGUAUAUAUCAAGUUAGUGUCCUGUGAUUUUAUUUUAUCUUUUCGUCAGCUUUUUUCUUAAUAUUUCGUUAAAUUAUAUACAAAAAAAAACUUCAAAUAUCCCAUCUAGAUUUAUCGAAUAUUUAUUUUAGUACCCUUUAGUUUUAAUUUUUUCACUGAUUUAACGAAAAAAAUUAAUGGAAUCGGUAAUAAAAAGAUAAAAAUAAAAUCACAGAAUACUAAAUUAAUUUACUUUAAACUAUAGAGUACUAAAGUGAGAAAGUAUAAAAUCACAGGGGUGGCAUGUAAUUGAAGUUUUUUCUUAUAAU